UUGGAGGGCAAGUCUGGUGCCAGCAGCCGCGGUAAUUCCAGCUCCAAUAGCGUAUAUUAAAGUUGUUGCAGUUAAAAAGCUCGUAGUUGAAUUUCGGGAUCAAUGUUUCGGUCAUGCCGUUGGUAUGUACUGAUAUUAUUGAUUUCUCACCUUCUAAAGAACCGUAAUGCCAUUAAUUUGGUGUCACGGGGAAUUAGGACUGUUACCUUGAAAAAAUUAGAGUGUUUAAAGCAGGCUCACGCUUGAAUACAUUAGCAUGGAAUAAUGAAAUAGGACAUCCGAUUCUAUUUUGUUGGCUUCUAGGAUCGAUGUAAUGAUUAAUAGGGAUAGUUGGGGGCAUUAGUAUUCAAUUGUCAGAGGUGAAAUUCUUGGAUUUAUUGAAGACUAACUACUGCGAAAGCAUUUGCCAAGGAUGUUUUCAUUAAUCAAGAACGAAAGUUAGGGGAUCGAAGACGAUCAGAUACCGUCGUAGUCUUAACCAUAAACUAUGCCGACUAGGGAUCGGAUGAUGUUAAUUUUUUAAUGACUCAUUCGGCACCUUACGGGAAACCAAAG
RNAcentral lists this ribosomal RNA (555 nucleotides) under uncultured Glomus. Its description in RNAcentral is "SSU rRNA". It matches the Rfam family "Eukaryotic small subunit ribosomal RNA", at positions 548 to 1103 of the family's 1831-position model. Lineage: Eukaryota; Fungi; Glomeromycota; Glomeromycetes; Glomerales; Glomeraceae. The record is from RNAcentral.